Long non-coding RNA from Sebastes umbrosus (honeycomb rockfish), 235 nucleotides. RefSeq lists it as uncharacterized. The record is from RefSeq and is a predicted model, not a curated record. Lineage: Eukaryota; Metazoa; Chordata; Actinopteri; Perciformes; Sebastidae. The transcript is spliced from 2 exons.
GUCCUUCACACCAGAGAGCUGAAACACACAGUCGUACCUCCUCCAGUCUUCAGCUGAUGAAAGUUUCAGGUCAACACUCAUCUGGAAGGUUCCAUCGUGGUUGGGGAGGAUCUCUCCGAGGUCCACGUCCUCAUGAAGCUCCUCUCCAUCUUUCCUCCAGAACAGUGUGGCUCUGUCAGGGUAGAAACCUGUAGCGUGGCAGCUGACUGGAGAGGAGGGAGUCUUCUGGAGGAGA